Molecule: long non-coding RNA, 1047 nt
Organism: Dermacentor andersoni
Lineage: Eukaryota; Metazoa; Arthropoda; Arachnida; Ixodida; Ixodidae
Source: RefSeq, a predicted model, not a curated record
CCUUAAACUACACUCGUAGGCAAAGUUACACCCUUUGGCUUGCCCCUUCUGCCACACAACAAUAAUCGCUAUCUGCCUUGAUGCGUUUCCUUUCUUUAACUCUGCGAGCCCGGUACUUUCCAGUAACGAACGGCACGCGCGUUAUCAGCAUAGAACUGUUUACACCCUUCGGAGUGCCCCUUCUGAUAACGCGCGUGCCGUUCGUUACUGGAAAGUUCCGGGCUCGCAGCGUUAAAGAAAGGAAACGCAUGAAGGCAGAUAACGAUUAUUGUUGUGUGGCAGAAGGGGCAAGCCAAAAGGUGUAACUUUGCCUAAGAGUGUAGCCUCUCCUUCGUUACUGCCACUGUUUUCUCGUCUAUUUGCCCUCGUUCCCCGGGAAAUCCUAAUGCCCCUUCCAUAUCUGUCACUGUUCCCUCAGCCAGAGUCGGGCGAAAGUCUGUGCAUCUCAGCUCUGUGGUCUCCAGGUGGUCUCAAUUUCGGCUCCGCAAACUGUGCAUAAAAGUGCAAGCGGGCCCGCACUGUGAGUGAGUCGGGGAGCUCCGACAGCGACUCCGAUUCAUUGUGCGUGCUUAGCGAGCUGAAGGCAGCCCAAGAAAAAGUGCAGAUAUGGAAGGCGAGCAGAGAACGAGUCGUUUCGUUAAGAGAAAUGCCUCGAGAGUAAGAUUUUUCAGUCCCCAUCCAUGACAGUGGGCAGACGCAAAGCUGCUGCCAAAGUCCCCAAGGAAGUGGAAAAGAGCAGCAUUGAGAGAGAAACCUCGCUUGGUGAAGAGUUGGCUUGUGGUUCCACUGGAUCCACAGCUCCUGCUUCGCAGCAGCCAAUGUUGCUACACCACCAAGCCAAAUCAGCAGCAAUGUAACAACAGCUGCUAACUUCACGUACUUGGAUGAUGUCAUUCCACGCUGAAGCACCGGGGUGCAGAAAAGAACAUGGACGUAGAAUCGACAGUACUGAACCUGGGCCGCCUGCUGUCGGAGAAGAUUCAGGACGUCUUGAAAUCAAAGCACCGGCUCAAAUUGUAAUAAAACCUGGCAAGCUGGACAUUGUCA